RNAcentral lists this ribosomal RNA (446 nucleotides) under uncultured bacterium. RNAcentral's name for it is "bacterial SSU rRNA". It matches the Rfam family "Bacterial small subunit ribosomal RNA", at positions 329 to 792 of the family's 1533-position model. The record is from RNAcentral.
CACCAGACUCCUACGGGAGGCAGCAGUGGGGAAUAUUGCACAAUGGGGGAAACCCUGAUGCAGCAACGCCGCGUGAGUGAAGAAGUAUUUCGGUAUGUAAAGCUCUAUCAGCAGGGAAGAAAAUGACGGUACCUGAGUAAGAAGCCCCGGCUAACUACGUGCCAGCAGCCGCGGUAAUACGUAGGGGGCAAGCGUUAUCCGGAUUUACUGGGUGUAAAGGGAGCGUAGACGGCGAUACAAGUCUGAAGUGAAAGCCCGGGGCUCAACCCCGGGACUGCUUUGGAAACUGUGUUGCUGGAGUGCUGGAGAGGCAAGCGGAAUUUCUAGUGUAGCGGUGAAAUGCGUAGAUAUUAGGAAGAACACCAGUGGCGAAGGCGGCCUGCUGGACUGUGACUGACGUUGAGGCCCGAAGGCGUGGGGAGCAAACAGGAUUAGAUACCCCAGUA